Molecule: transfer RNA, 74 nt
Organism: Finegoldia magna ATCC 29328
Lineage: Bacteria; Bacillati; Bacillota; Tissierellia; Tissierellales; Peptoniphilaceae
Rfam family: tRNA
About the family: Transfer RNA (tRNA) molecules are approximately 80 nucleotides in length. Their secondary structure includes four short double-helical elements and three loops (D, anti-codon, and T loops). Further hydrogen bonds mediate the characteristic L-shaped molecular structure. tRNAs have two regions of fundamental functional importance: the anti-codon, which is responsible for specific mRNA codon recognition, and the 3' end, to which the tRNAs corresponding amino acid is attached (by aminoacyl-tRNA synthetases). tRNAs cope with the degeneracy of the genetic code in two manners: having more than one tRNA (with a specific anti-codon) for a particular amino acid; and 'wobble' base-pairing, i.e. permitting non-standard base-pairing at the 3rd anti-codon position.
Source: Rfam
CGCGGGAUAGAGCAGUUUGGUAGCUCGUCGGGCUCAUAACCCGGAGGUCGUAGGUUCAAAUCCUGCUCCCGCAA